CUUUUUGCCAUUUCUUGGGCUGCUCCUGCGGCAUAUGGAGGUUCCCAGUCUAUAGCCUGGAGUCUAAUCGGAGCUGUAGCCGCUGGCCUACACCAGAGCCACAGCAACGCGGGAUCCGAGCCGCGUCUGCAACCUACACCACAGCUCACGGCAACGCCGGAUCAUUAACCCCCUGAGCAAGGCCAGGGAUUGAACCCGCAACCUCAUGGUUCCUAGUCGGAUUCGUUAACCAGUGAGCCACAAUGGGAACUCCCUGAAAUCAUUUUUCUUUCUCAGUGCUCAAGAAAGCAUUUACAUCAGAUCCAUUCUUCUUAGUGGAGUGAUUUUGUGAAGCUUUCCUUGAUGCUCCACCUCCACCCAAUACACCAACUUCCUGCCAGGUGCUUCUCCUACACACCCUCAGCCACAGCCAUUAUCAUUCAUUUGUAAUCAUCUGUUUUCUUGGAAGCAUCUUGCACUAAAUUGCAGGCUCUGGGGAAGGGACCCUUCUAUUUUGUUCAUCAUUGAAUGCCCUAUGCGGUGCUUGGCACACACCAGAUGCUUGAUCAAUAUUUGCUGAGUAAAUGAAUGAUGUUGUUCUUUUUCACUUUAUACCUACAGGAGCCACUGUCUCAGGAAGAAACAUGGACUCACUGAAGUCUUGACCCAGACAAUAAAUUUGUGAAUUUGGCAACUGUCAAAGCUCUCCAGCCAGAGGGAAUAAGGCAGGCCGUAUUGUGACAGCCUGCAGGCAUUUCUCCUGAUUUAGGAGGGUUUAAGGCAGGUCUCCUGAGCAACUGCAGAGGGCCGGGGGCCAGUUGGACCAGGGAAAAACCCAGGAUUAACUUCAGACCUUGACAUUUCCCUCCCUUCAGUGACUAUUAGCUCACGGCCUAAACUGUGAAGCAACUCAGGGGAAAUAUAAAUUAGAGCAAGAAACUGUACUAAAUCCUUCUCCUGACAACAGGCUGAGUGAGUCUGGCUUAUUUCUGAGCUGGUUCGUGCUCCCUGGUAUUGGGAGCUUUACCGUUUCAGACUGGAAUAACCUCGAGCAUUUUCCCCUCUCUUUGGUGAGAGCUCUGUAGCAGUUGUUUACAUUAGCUACCGUAUUUAAUUCAUGGAGGAGGGGGAACCAUGGGGGAAAGGAGUCAAAAGAAGGUUAAGUGGUGCUAAUGGUCUUAUUUGUUACUUAAUGAGCCCCAAUCCCAAUGAAGAUGACACUUCUGGUCACUACUAGCAGAUAUUACAUGGGGGGGGAGGGUUAUUUUAUUCAUUAGUUUUGACUUUUUUCCUUGUUAUAAUAGGAAUAGAAUUGUACCAGUCUAUUCUGAUUCCCUCCAUGAGACUAGGGGAGUAGUAGUUCUUAACUUUCUGACAGUGGGAUGGGAUUUGAAUCAGCACCUACAAGGGCUGGGCUCUACUCUCAGCUUCCGUCCUUUAUUCAACAAAUAUUGAGUACCUGUGAUGAGGCCUGGGAUUAUUCUAAAUACUGGGGAAAACAAUGUAAAAUAAAAGACACUAUGUUUCUGUUGAGAAAAAUAGACAAUAGACAUUAAAUAAGUAAAUUCUACAGACUAUUAGAAAAUGAUAAGUGAUAGAAAAGAAGGAUCGAGGUAGUGGGUAUGGAGUGUAAGUGGGCAGGGUGGUAGUCACAGUUUUUGUGUGUGUGUUUUGUCGUUUUAGGGCCGCACAGUGGCAUGUGGAGUUUCCCAGGCCAGGGAUCCAAUCUGAACUGUAGCCACUGGCCUACGCCACAGCCACAGCAAUGUGGGAUCCAAGCUGCGUCUGCGACCUACACCACAGCUCAGGGCAACGCCGGAUCCUUAACCCAUGACGGGAACUCCUAAAUGGGGCUCAUAUGGCAAGGAGCACUGGAAGGCACUGCAGGAACUUUUGCUGUAGGAGGAAUGGGGACCCCUCUGGAAGACUGAACAGAGGAAUGACUUACCUGAUUUUUCCUGGAAAAUCUGGUGGCUCUGGUGAGAAUGAUCUCUAGGGAACAUGGCAGAGAUGACUAGCAGGUGACCCAAACCUAUUCUUCUUCUGUCACAUGGAGAGUUGUCACCAGAAGCAGCUGGCCAGCCAGGGACCCUUCUUAGUGGGCAGUGUGGUCAAAUGCCAGGAAGACCACAGGGCAGCCUUCAGCCUGAGACCUGAAUGGCUGGCUGGUGGAGAGCUGCUUUCAAACACUGGACCCAGGGGUUCCUGCUGUGGCUCAGUGGUAACGAGUCCAACUAGUAACCAUGAGGACGUGGGUUCAAUCCCUGGCCUUGCUCAGCGGGUUAAGGAUUUGGUGUUGCCAUGAGCUUUAGGGUAGGUCACAGACACAGCUUGAAUCCCAUGUUGCUGUAGCUGUGGUGUAGCCUGGCAGCUAUAGCUCCGAUUAGACCCCUAGUAUGGGAACUUCCAUAUGGCUAAGGUGUGGCCCUAAAAACCAAAACAAACAAACAAACAAAAACCCAAAACAAAAAAACUGGACCCAGCCGUUGAUUGCUACAUAUGAAAUAAACUAGUUGUUCUUUAAGCCACUGAAUUUGGUGGUGGUGGGGGGGGGGUACAUUUGUUAUAGCAGCCAGCCUAUCCUAACUAAGAGAAAUACAGAGGUCAAGACAAAACCAGGAAGCUCUAUUAGGCAGCUACUGCAACCAGUCUGGGUAAGAGCCUGGUGGCUUGCAAUAAUGCGCUAGGAGAGGAGGUAGCACAAAAUGAAAUCAAAGUAUAUUUUGAAGGCGGAGCCCAGAGAAUUUUGUGACAGCUUGGAUGUGGGGUAUGAGAGAAAAGAAGGAAGCCAAGUUUGACUUCCUGGUUUGGGGGUUGAUACACCGUAAGUUUGGGAAGACAGCUUUAGGGGGUCAAUUGGAAAGGAGUUGCACUUGUGUAAAUCUGAGAUGUUUAUUGGUUUCCAAGAGAAGAUAUCGAAUAGAAAUGUGGUAUAUAAAUUUGAAGGUCAGGGAGGAUGUCCAGCCUGGAUAUUAACUUAGAGUCAUCAGUGCACAGAUUGAAGUUAAAUCCUGGGAUGGGGUGAGACCAGCAUGGGAGGGAGUAUAGCUACAGAAGAGGUCAAAGGACUGAGCCCUGUGGCACUUCAUCUUAAAGAGAUAGGGAAAAUGGGGAGAAAUCAGCAAAAGUGACUAAGUAGGAGCAGCCAGGGUGAAAGAAAGAAAAGCAGGAGAGUUUGGUGCCUGGAAACCCUGACCUGUUCUAUGUAGGGGUGCAGAGCUCCACGCCAAAGAUCAGAGCCUGAAAAAUGGAUCCUCGCCUCUGAGGAGCAGGAGAAAGACUCAUCAACUAAUGAGAUCCAGAUAAGCACAACUCUGGGGGCCUAUCAGAGGGCAGGAAAGAGCUUAGAAUGCCCUGCAGGCAGCGGUGGUAGGUUGGGAAAUAGUAGGAUUCU
RNAcentral lists this long non-coding RNA (3373 nucleotides) under Sus scrofa (pig). RNAcentral's name for it is "lncRNA (ENSSSCG00055019659.1, ENSSSCG00065070738.1)". Lineage: Eukaryota; Metazoa; Chordata; Mammalia; Artiodactyla; Suidae. The record is from RNAcentral.